CACCAGCUGACGAGUCCCAAAUAGGGUGAAACGUACGUCCUAGAC
Molecule: non-coding RNA, 45 nt
Filed under: Schistosoma margrebowiei
Lineage: Eukaryota; Metazoa; Platyhelminthes; Trematoda; Strigeidida; Schistosomatidae
Source: RNAcentral